This is a non-coding RNA of Corylus avellana, 241 nucleotides long. The record is from RefSeq and is a predicted model, not a curated record. NCBI's taxonomy places the organism in Eukaryota, Viridiplantae, Streptophyta, Magnoliopsida, Fagales, Betulaceae.
UAUUGUAUGGUUUUGUCUUUUUGAGGUUACUGAUGCGUGUGGGGGCGAAUAUUUUCAGGGUACUGCUGCAAAUGAAUCGACAGCUACCAAGAUGUCAAGAAGAAAAAAGACAUUUGCUGAGCUCAAGGAGCAGGAGAGUUCUCUGUUGAAGGAAAGGAUACACUUGAAAAAGGAGAUAGCAACACUUCGUGCAACUUUUAAGGAACAGAGGGCCAAAAAUGAGAGCUUCAAAAGAAUGAAG